AGGAUCAUUAUCGAAUAAACUUGAACAGGCUGUUGCUGGUCCUCCUUGGGGAAUAUGUGCACGCUUGUCUCAUCUUUGUUAUUUCUCCCACUUUGUGCACCUUUUGUAGGCUCUUGGAGCUUUGUGGAUUUUUUUGAAUUCCGAGUCGGGACUGCUGUGCUUUCAAAGUCAGCUUUGCCUUGAAUCUCCAGGUCUAUGUCAUUUUUUCAUAACCUCAAAUGUUUAGAAUGUUGGAAAUAAAUAAAUAUACAACUUUCAGCAACGGAUCUCUUGGCUCUCGCAUCGAUGAAGAACGCAGCGAAAUGCGAUAAGUAAUGUGAAUUGCAGAAUUCAGUGAAUCAUCGAAUCUUUGAACGCAUCUUGCGCUCCUUGGUAUUCCGAGGAGCAUGCCUGUUUGAGUGUCAUUAAAACUUCUCUUCAACCACAUCUUUGAUGUUGGCUUGGUGGAUUGUGGGGGUUGCUGGCUGGCUUCUUUGAUUGAAGGUCGGCUCCCCUGAAAUGUAUUAGCGGUAUCUGAGGCUAUUUACCAUUUAGGUGUGAUAAUUAUCUAUGCCUUCUUGGAUAGCCGCAUUUGAACAGAUUGCACUGCUUCCAAAAAACAACAAUUUUGAUAAAAUUGACCUCAAAUCAGGUAGGACUACCCGCUGAACUUAAGCAUAUCAAUAAGCGGAGGAAAAGAAACUAACAAGGAUUCCCCUAGUAACUGCGAGUGAAGCGGGAAAAGCUCAAAUUUGAAAUCUGGCGGUUCUUGAACUGUCCGAGUUGUAAUCUAGAGAAGUGUUACCUGUGCUGGACCAUGUACAAGUCUCCUGGAAUGGAGCAUCACAGAGGGUGAGAAUCCCGUCUUUGACAUGGACUGCCUGUACGAUGAGGUGCGCUCUCGAAGAGUCGAGUUGUUUGGGAAUGCAGCUCAAAAUGGGUGGUAAAUGCCAUCUAAAGCUAAAUAUUGGCGAGAGACCGAUAGCGAACAAGUACCGUGAGGGAAAGAUGAAAAGAACUUUGGAAAGAGAGUUAAACAGUACGUGAAAUUGCUGAAAGGGAAACGCUUGAAGUCAGUCGCGUCGGCUAGAAAUCAGCCUUGCUUUUGCUUGGUGUACUUUCUGGUUUGACGGGUCAGCAUCAAUUUUGACCAUCGGAUAAAGUCGUUGGGAAUGUGGCAUCUUAGGAUGUGUUAUAGCCCAUUGUCGCAUACGGUGAUUGGGAUUGAGGAACUCAGCACGCCCGCAAGGGCCGGGUCUU
RNAcentral lists this ribosomal RNA (1239 nucleotides) under uncultured Inocybe. Its description in RNAcentral is "eukaryotic LSU rRNA". The stretch from base 618 to 1239 matches the Rfam family "Eukaryotic large subunit ribosomal RNA", at positions 1 to 621 of the family's 3401-position model. Lineage: Eukaryota; Fungi; Basidiomycota; Agaricomycetes; Agaricales; Cortinariaceae. The record is from RNAcentral.